Molecule: long non-coding RNA, 845 nt
Filed under: Citrus x clementina
Lineage: Eukaryota; Viridiplantae; Streptophyta; Magnoliopsida; Sapindales; Rutaceae
Description: Citrus clementina (C. clementina) long non-coding RNA (CCLE_LNC004954)
Source: RNAcentral
AGACUUUGCGAGGCGCCUCCGUGUGCCAAAAAUAGGCCGCGGGCACAGCCGCGCCCAAAAAUAACCGCCCGAAGGCCGGGGCGCCAAGUUUGUCCAGCGGAAAAAGGCCACAAAAACGGGUGGGCUAUAGCCUUGGGGGGUGGGGCUGGCCAACUUCGUCCGCCGGACUGGGAAUGGCGCGAGAGUUUGCGAGGCACCUCCGUGUGCCAAAAAUAGGCCGCGGGCACAGCCGCGCCCAAAAAUAACCGCCCGAAGGCCGGGGCGCCAAGUUCGUCCAGCGGAAAAAGGCCACAAAAACGGGUGGGCUGUAGCCUUGGGGGGUGGGGCUGGCCAACUUCGUCCGCCGGACUCGGAAGGGCGCGUGACUUUGCGAGGCGCCUCCGUGUGUAAAAAAUAGGCCGCGGACACAGCCGCGGCCAAAAAUAACCGCCCGAAAGCCGGGGCGCCACGUUUGUCCUGCGGAAAAAGGCCACAAAUACGGGUGGGCUAUAGCCUUGGGGGGUGGGGCUGGCCAACUUCGUCCGCCGGACUCGGAAUGGCGCGAGACUUUGCGAGGCGCCUCCGUGUGCCAAAAAUUGGCCGCGGGCACAGCCGCGCCCAAAAAUAACAGCUUUAAGGCCGGGGCAGCAAGUGUGUCCUGCGGAAAAAGGCCACAAAUACGGGUGGGCUAUAGCCUUGGGGGGUGGGGCUGGCCAACUUCGCCCGCCGGACUCGGAAGGGCGUGGGACUUUGCGAGUCGCCUCCGUGUGCCAAAAAUAGGCCGCGGGAACAGCCGUGCCCAAAAAUAACCACCCGAAGGCCGGGGCGCCAAGUUCGUCCAGCGGAAAAAGGCCACAAAUACGGGU